This 6775-nucleotide long non-coding RNA is filed under the name Malus domestica (apple). RNAcentral describes it as "long non-coding RNA (MDOM_LNC020875)". The record is from RNAcentral. Lineage: Eukaryota; Viridiplantae; Streptophyta; Magnoliopsida; Rosales; Rosaceae.
AAUUCACAUAGAUAAGUAAAUUGAAUUCACAACUUAUGAAACGCAAUUAGAAGUAAUCAAAUCGUAACGCAAGCAUAAACAUGUAUUUCGAAUCCCCCUAGCCAAGGGGGGGUUUAGUUCCUCAUUAUUACAAAACAAAGAUAAACAAAUUUAAACAUUGAAAAACAAAGGGAAGAAAGCACCUAAACGUUCCAACGAUCCAUGUUGGAUAGCAAGCGCGUCCAAGGACUUUUCUCCUUCUCCUUGCCGCAACAACAAGGUUGGAAUGAUGUUGAAGGGUUGGUUAUUUGGAGGAAUGGAUGGGAAGGGGUUUAGAUAUGUAGGAGAGGCAAGGAAAGGCUUGGAGAAUGGUUAAUUUCUGGAUGAUUUGAAUGAGGUUGCUGCCAUGGUAUUUAUAGGAAGAGGAUGGACAUGUUUAAUGCAAAAAUCUGGUGGAAUGAAGUAGGUAAGGCAUGGCAAGGUGGAGAAUUGUUGGUGAGGGUAGGUAUUGAGUCAUCCACUCACAUGUCAUGGUGAGUUAAGCAUUGCAUCAUCCACUCAAAUGUCAUGGUGAGUUAAGCAUUACAUCAUCCACUCAAAUGUCAUAGUGAGAUAGGCAUUGCAUCAUCACUAAAAAAUCUGGUGGAAGUAAAACAAAGGGAAGGCCACGGCAUUGAUGAAUUUUAUGGGGUAUGCAUGGUUUUGAGUGAAGUUUUGGCCAAUCCUUCUAGAAAUUUAUCCCUUCUUGCAACUUGUAUUUGUUUCACCAGAUUUUUAGCAUGUUCCUAGCCUCUUUUGUCUUCAAAUUCGUCCAUCCAUCUUGCUCAUAUCAUAUGUAAUCCAUUCCAAGCUCAAAACUGCUCCAAAAUGCACCAAAAUGCACUUUCUUGCUACCUUAGCCCUUUGGACCUACAAACACACGAAAAUGGCUUAAAGUACUAAAAUAACUAAGAACUAAUAACGUAAAUGCAAGAAAACUAGUUAACUAAGUCGCAUAAAUAUGCGUCUAUCAAAUUCCCCCACACUUAGCUAUUGCUAGUCCUCGAGCAAAAUAAAACAAAUAAAACAUAAAAAAAAAACAAAACGAAACCAAACAAACAAAAACAACCUAAACCUUCCAACGUUUGCCUUAGGGAUUUCCAAUGCACAUGACAUGUUAAAGAUUAUCAUUCCCACAGAAUUGAGUCAAUUUAACACUUAAGCACAUACUUAAUCAUAGUCACUACUUACAAAUUCACAAUUAACCAAUUAAAACAAUGUUUUGAAUGUAGUAACAUGCCUUAGAGAAUUCCCUCAAUCCUUACAAGAUAUGCACUCUAUUUUCACUCAGAUUUUCUAACUACACACCCUAUACUAGUUAUAUGUGAGAGAAUUGAUGUAGAUAUAAAAACGAAUGCUCACAUAUAUGUAUAACAAAGAACACAAUUUCUAGAGUUAAUAAGCAUGUUGAGAUAUGAUCUCAUGAAUGGAAUGCUACUACUUAGAUGCGAGAACCAGUGACCAUAUGCUCAUACCAAGUUCAAUCUCCACAAAUUGAAACACAUAACACUCAAGAUAGAAGUCAAGGGUUGUAACGGGGCUUGGGGUAUUGGCUAACAAAGAAAGGAUAAGGAAAACAAACGUUCUUAAAGUGAUAGUAAGCAAAGUAAUGAAAUUGAGACUUAGAAUUUACUUAGAUUGCAGAAAUUAGCUUUAAAACACAAGGGGAAGAUUUAAACAACUCCUUAGGGUCGAAUUCAUUGUUUUGGACCCCUUCUUCAUCAAACAACACUUUAGAACUCUUUUUCACUUCUUUUCAACUCUUUUCGCAUUCUUUUCUGUUUUCUUUCUUUUUACCCGUGCCUAUGGCACAUAAUUCCUCAUGAAAAACACUUCCCCCACACUUGUUUUCUGCCACAAAGGAAUUCAAUUUGAAUCAUGCUUUACUACGCUUUAAGAACAAGGUUAAUGGAUGGUCCUAAUCUAAGCUAGGUGAGGGUAAUGUGGGUUACAAAGAAAAGGCUCACAAAGCUCAACGGGGUUAAAACGUACAAAACAUAAUGACAUAGGGGAUUCACGGCUUUUUGGUUAUGGUGGUGGUCACUACACAACUUUAUCUUGAAUAUGUGUUAUGCAAAUCAAUGACAUGCUUUGAAUGAAAUGGGUAUGAGUUCUAGCAUUUGGAACUAAAUGAUGAAACGCCUUCUAAGUAGUAACCAAGCAAAGAAUAAUGAGAUCAUGCAACGACUUAGAAAACAAUAAAUCACAGAUUAUUAACUCUCCAAAUAAACGUUUAGGCUCAAGUCUCACAAGGUUGUAGCGUUAGUUUGAGUUCUUUCCUUCAAGCAUGUUACAAAAACUGAUUUUUCCUUUAAGAUUGCAUGUAAAUUCAUAAGUUAUAACCACAACCAAGCAUAAACAAAGAGUAAAUCAAACUUUCAUCCAUGUUAAUCACUCUCUUUAACAGCCAUGAAAUUACAAACCAAAUCCUCAUCAUUGUGUUGGAAGGUACCCUAAGACACAAACAAACACACAAAAACAACUCUUUUUGGGUUUUGCAAAGCAAUUUUUCAAAUUUUUAUGUGAUUUUCGGAGUUAUAAGUCAGCACACACUAAAACACACCAAAACAGCCUAAAAAAACACCUAAAAACAGCAAGAAACAACAUUGGGAAGUAUGAGUGAGAAAACCUUACGAAUUUGCAUCAAAACACUUUGGUUACCCCCCCACACUUAAACCAAACAUUGUCCUCAAUGUUUCAAAGCAUAACUAACACAAAAACACAUAAACAAACAAACAAACACUAACAAACUAAAUGUGGCAGAAACUAAUUAAACAACAAAGAGAAGGGUUUAGGAACGCAAAUCUGGAAUUGGAGUGCUAUCUAGGCCUUCCUUUCUCGAAUGCAUGGGUUGCCUCCCACGAAGCGCUUUCUUUAACGUCUUCCAGCCGGACGGUACCUCCGUUUAAGCUUGACUAGGUGCCACGGCAUGGAGGGGUACAUCCUCCAUGACAUGCUCCUUGAAAUACUCAUGCAUUGGGUCUAUGUAUGGCAGUGGAUAAUGAUGGUCCCAGAUUGUGGCAUUAAGCUUCCCAAGGUGAAAGUAAAAACUCCCAUAAUCAUGGAUUCGAUUUGGUACCUGCACCACAGAAGGCAAUAACCUUUUAGUGGAAAUGGGAAUUGGAAUUAGAGGAGGAGGCUUACCAAUGCAUGUAGAUGAAGACUCAAAAGGGGCAGCAAAGGUGGUGCUCUCGGCCAGAUUUGGUAUUUUGGGUGUAAUGACAUGUUUUGUAUGCUCCACUCCAAUACCCUCUUCGAUGAUGCAUCUAGGGACAUCCUUCUUGAUUGGUGCGCAUGAAUGUUCCUUCCCCACAUGUUUAAUCACAUCUAUUGCAAAACAAGAACGAACAUCAUGAGGAUUCUUAACAUAUUCAGGAACUUUGAAUUUAAUCAAUUCAUCACCAAACUCCAUUGUUAACUCUCCCUUAGCCACAUCAAUCUUGGUUUGGGCUGUCUUCAUGAAGGGCCGCCCUAAUAGUAUCGGCAAUGGGGUAGAAUAGGGUGAAUCCUCCAUGUCAAGCAUGUAAAAGUUCGCUGGAAAAAUCAAAUUGCCCACCUGCACCAACACAUCUUCCAAAACACCCUUUGAAUAUGCAUUAGAACGAUCGGCUAAUUGAAUAAUCACACCAUCGUUUUUAAGCUCACCUAAGUUCAUAGAUGCAUAAAUAGAGUAUGGCAUAACAUUAAUCGAAGCCCCUAAGUCUAACAUGCAUUGUUCAAACUUAGUCUUGCCAAUAAUGCACGGAAUUGUAAAACUACCCGGAUCUUUGCAUUUAGGGGGUAAUUUCCUUUGUAACAUGGCAGAAACAUUCUCACUUACUUGGACCACCUCUUUGUUCGAAAUCCUUCUCCUUGAUGUACAAAGUUCUUUUAAAAAAUGAGCAUACCUCGGGACUUGCUUAAUUGCAUCAAGGAGCGGAAUAUUGACUUGAACUUUCCGAAAGGUCUCUAGAAUGUCCUUCUCGGCUUCUUCCUUUUUUGAUUGCCUAAACCUGCCAGGAAAGGGCACAUUUAGUGGAAUGGAACUAGAAAAAAUCGAAUUUGGACUUACCUUGGUGGUUUGGGACGGCUUAAGAGGGCUAGAUGGUGGUGGCAAGGAUUGUUCAUCCUUGGCCGUGAGUUUUGGUCCCUGUGCUUCCUCUUGUAGCAACUUUUCAUCCUCAUCGUGACUUGAUUUGGAUGAUUUUGGUUUGGCUCCAACCUGUGUACCACUUCUCAACAUGAUUGCAUUGACGGUUUCAAAGCCUCCUUUUGGAUUUGCAAUGGUUGAGCUAGGCAACUUGCCUUGCUCUCGAAACUGCCCCAUGAACUCGACAAUUUGCCCUACUUGUUUCUCCAACUCGUCCACCUUUUUGUCCCUAUUUUGCAUUCCCUGCGCCAUAGAAGUUAGUAAAUUAAAAAUUUGAUCAUUAUCAAUAGACGAACCUGAUUUUUGGGCAGGUUGUGCUUGGGGUUGAGUUGGUGCAAACGGCUUUUGAUAAAAACCCGGGGGUUGUUGCCUCAAUCCGCUUUGUUGUUGGCCUUGUUGGGGUUCUCGCCAUUUGAAAUUUGGAUGAUCACGCCAACCGGGAUUGUAAGUAUUGGAAAAGGGGUCAUUCCUUGGUUGGUAUUGGUUGCCAAAUCCCACGGCAUUGAGGGUCUCCCACCCUCCAUUUUCUAUCAACUGUGGGCACUUGUCCGUAAGGUGGCCUUGCAUGGAACACACGCCACAAGCUGCCACGUUUUGCACUUUUGGACCUUCCACUACCUGAGAAAGCAAAGUAGUAAGGUUAGCCAUUUGAUUUUGAAGUUCGGUUAUGGCACUUACCUCAUUGACUUGAUGUGGUCGUGGGUUACUCCUUUGUCCAACGCCUUCGUAUUGUUGAGCAUUCAACGCACGGUUGGAAAUUAAAGUCUUUGCUGCCGUGGGGGUCUUGUCCACCAAAGCUCCUCCCGCCGAGGCAUCUAGCAUUUGACGUUCGAUAGGUAGUAGCCCCUCGUAGAAGUAUUGCAAAAGAAGUUCCUCCUUCAUCUGAUGCUGUGGACAAGAAGCAACAAGAGAUUUAAAACGUUCAUAAUAAGUAGGAAAAGAUUCACCUUCCUCUUGUUGAAUUCCACUUAUCCUUUUCCGUAGGAGGAUGACUCGAGAAGUUGGGAAAAACAUCUCCAAGAAAGCCCGUUUCAUGCUUUCCCAUGAUGUGACGGUUUCGGGCGCCAAUUCGUACAACCAAUCCUUCGCCUUUUCCAAGAGAGAGAAAGGGAAGGCUUUCAUCUUCAAAAUACUCCCAUCGACAUUGACAGGGGUCAUGCUCGAACACACCACCUCGAAUUCUUUCAAGUGUUUGUUAGGAUCUUCCAUGGACAACCCAUGGUACUUCGGAAUGUGGUGUAACAAGCUUGACUUCAAUUCAAAUUCUUCUGUCUUUCCUCGGGCUGCUGCGGGGUAUUGGAUGCAUAGAGGUGCGGCAUUGUCCAAUCCCGAAGCUGAAAGUUCUUUGAUUGUUCGAUUGUCCACCUCCAUGUUUUUUUCUGCCUCCUCCUUUUCUUCAAAUUCGGAUUCAGAACUAGAACUAGGUGGAUUAGGUUCUGGUACUUUCCUUUUCCUUCUCAAAGUUCGUUCAAAAUUGUCGUCAAACUCCGAUAUAUGUGCACAAACUGGUUGAGAACUACGAGUCAUAAACUAGUACCUGAAAUAAACAAAAUAAAAUUAAAACUAAAAUUAAAACACACAAAAAAGAAAUAAAAAGAAACAAUGGGGAUUUAGCAAAGUUGCUAAUCCCCGGCAACGGCGCCAAAAUUUGAUGCGAAUAUUACUUGACACACAAAUUAAACCCUCUUUUGACAAUUGUAGCAAAGUAUGUAAGUAGGGAUCGUUCUAAACCGGGGAUUAGGAGGGCUUGCUAAAACCUCUAAACUGACUCAAAAACAAAAAGAAACAAAGUUAAAAAUGUAAACAAAAGAUUUUAAAACAAGAAAGUAAAAGGGGGAUUUGAGUUUGGUGAAGUUGAAAGUAAAAACGAAUAAACUAAAAACUUAAAUAGAUUUUAAACAAAUUUGGGUUGAAUGGAUAAUGGAAGGCUAGCUAAGGGUUUCAUCUCCACACAUGUUAUACUUGCAUACAAAACGAUUUCCAAUUGCAUUUCAAUAAACCAUGAAUUCUCAACGCCCCAAGUUAAUUAGGUCCGCUUAAAUUAACCUUCAGAUUUUCCUAACGUUAUUGAAUUGGAUGAUUGCAUACGACAACCCAAAACAUUCCCCACAAGUCCCCUACAUGAUUGCAUAAUAGAGAUACAAGCAAGAAUCAUUAAAUUCUAUGAAAACCAUAAGCAUUAACGAAGCACUUGUUACUAUGAUUGCAUGAAACUUAUGCCAAGAAUUUACUUAACGCGAUUGAGAUCAUCAACCUUUACUACUUGUGAAUAUAAUUCCAUAACGAUUAGGUGAAAUUUCCUUAUAUCCUAGCAUUCAAUUUAUGCAUGAUAAUUAAGCGUGCACUCUCAACCAACACACACAAAUCAAUGUAAUUCACAUAGAUAAGUAAAUUGAAUUCACAACUUAUGAAACGCAAUUAGAAGUAAUCAAAUCGUAACGCAAGCAUAAACAUGUAUUUCGAAUCCCCCCUAGCCAAGGGGGGGUUUAGUUCCUCAUUAUUACAAAACAAAGAUAAACAAAUUUAAACAUUGAAAAACAAAGGGAAGAAAGCACCUAAACGUUCCACCGAUCCAUGUUGGAUAGCAAGCGCGUCCAAGGACUUUUCUCCUUCUCCUUGCCGCAACAA